GAACAGCUGACAGACAGAGGGAUUUGAAUCACAAUCAAGACAGGAGGGAGGAUACACACGCUUCUGUCAUCCCUGCCACUGAAAGCAAGUCACAGCCUGUCACUUUAAGGAUGGCAGUGGAGCGCCAGGAAAUAAAAGCUGCACACUUCUCUACAGAUGAAGGCACACACUUGAUAAAAUUAUUCCUAUAGCCAGAAGCCCUCUUUUAGUCCUGCACAGCACCCUGGAGAAAUCCCCAGAGGCUCCAGUGGUUGCUCCAUGCCCUGGCCACGGUGAUCAGGUCAGUGACAGGACCCCUGAAUCAAAUCUUGG
Fukomys damarensis (Damara mole-rat) is the source of this 312-nucleotide long non-coding RNA. RefSeq lists it as uncharacterized. The transcript is spliced from 3 exons. The record is from RefSeq and is a predicted model, not a curated record. Lineage: Eukaryota; Metazoa; Chordata; Mammalia; Rodentia; Bathyergidae.